UUUAUGGAGAGUUUGAUCCUGGCUCAGGAUGAACGCUGGCGGCGUGCCUAAUACAUGCAAGUCGAGCGAACGGACGAGAAGCUUGCUUCUCUGAUGUUAGCGGCGGACGGGUGAGUAACACGUGGAUAACCUACCUAUAAGACUGGGAUAACUUCGGGAAACCGGAGCUAAUACCGGAUAAUAUUUUGAACCGCAUGGUUCAAAAGUGAAAGACGGUCUUGCUGUCACUUAUAGAUGGAUCCGCGCUGCAUUAGCUAGUUGGUAAGGUAACGGCUUACCAAGGCAACGAUGCAUAGCCGACCUGAGAGGGUGAUCGGCCACACUGGAACUGAGACACGGUCCAGACUCCUACGGGAGGCAGCAGUAGGGAAUCUUCCGCAAUGGGCGAAAGCCUGACGGAGCAACGCCGCGUGAGUGAUGAAGGUCUUCGGAUCGUAAAACUCUGUUAUUAGGGAAGAACAUAUGUGUAAGUAACUGUGCACAUCUUGACGGUACCUAAUCAGAAAGCCACGGCUAACUACGUGCCAGCAGCCGCGGUAAUACGUAGGUGGCAAGCGUUAUCCGGAAUUAUUGGGCGUAAAGCGCGCGUAGGCGGUUUUUUAAGUCUGAUGUGAAAGCCCACGGCUCAACCGUGGAGGGUCAUUGGAAACUGGAAAACUUGAGUGCAGAAGAGGAAAGUGGAAUUCCAUGUGUAGCGGUGAAAUGCGCAGAGAUAUGGAGGAACACCAGUGGCGAAGGCGACUUUCUGGUCUGUAACUGACGCUGAUGUGCGAAAGCGUGGGGAUCAAACAGGAUUAGAUACCCUGGUAGUCCACGCUGUAAACGAUGAGUGCUAAGUGUUAGGGGGUUUCCGCCCCUUAGUGCUGCAGCUAACGCAUUAAGCACUCCGCCUGGGGAGUACGACCGCAAGGUUGAAACUCAAAGGAAUUGACGGGGACCCGCACAAGCGGUGGAGCAUGUGGUUUAAUUCGAAGCAACGCGAAGAACCUUACCAAAUCUUGACAUCCUUUGACAACUCUAGAGAUAGAGCCUUCCCCUUCGGGGGGCAAAGUGACAGGUGGUGCAUGGUUGUCGUCAGCUCGUGUCGUGAGAUGUUGGGUUAAGUCCCGCAACGAGCGCAACCCUUAAGCUUAGUUGCCAUCAUUAAGUUGGGCACUCUAAGUUGACUGCCGGUGACAAACCGGAGGAAGGUGGGGAUGACGUCAAAUCAUCAUGCCCCUUAUGAUUUGGGCUACACACGUGCUACAAUGGACAAUACAAAGGGCAGCGAAACCGCGAGGUCAAGCAAAUCCCAUAAAGUUGUUCUCAGUUCGGAUUGUAGUCUGCAACUCGACUACAUGAAGCUGGAAUCGCUAGUAAUCGUAGAUCAGCAUGCUACGGUGAAUACGUUCCCGGGUCUUGUACACACCGCCCGUCACACCACGAGAGUUUGUAACACCCGAAGCCGGUGGAGUAACCUUUUAGGAGCUAGCCGUCGAAGGUGGGACAAAUGAUUGGGGUGAAGUCGUAACAAGGUAGCCGUAUCGGAAGGUGCGGCUGGAUCACCUCCUUU
RNAcentral lists this ribosomal RNA (1552 nucleotides) under Staphylococcus aureus. Its description in RNAcentral is "16S ribosomal RNA". It matches the Rfam family "Bacterial small subunit ribosomal RNA". The record is from RNAcentral. Lineage: Bacteria; Bacillati; Bacillota; Bacilli; Caryophanales; Staphylococcaceae.